Molecule: small nuclear RNA, 107 nt
Organism: Myotis daubentonii (Daubenton's bat)
Lineage: Eukaryota; Metazoa; Chordata; Mammalia; Chiroptera; Vespertilionidae
Source: RefSeq, a predicted model, not a curated record
UAUUAAAAAAAGAAAAAAAAAGAAAAAAAAAAGAAAUAUUACAGAGAGGAUCAGCAUGGCCCCUGCCCAAGGGUGACACUCAAACUCGUGUAGCAUUCCGUAUUUAC